RNAcentral lists this ribosomal RNA (497 nucleotides) under uncultured bacterium. Its description in RNAcentral is "partial 16S ribosomal RNA". It matches the Rfam family "Bacterial small subunit ribosomal RNA", at positions 28 to 507 of the family's 1533-position model. The record is from RNAcentral.
GAUGAACGCUGGCGGCAUGCCUAAUACAUGCAAGUCGAGCGAACAGACGAGGAGCUUGCUCCUCUGACGGUAGCGGCGGACGGGUGAGUAACACGUGGUUAACCUACCUAUAAGACUUGGAUAACAUCGGCGGACCGUAGCUACUACCGGAAAAUAUAUUGAACCGCAUGGUUCAAUCGUUAAAGAAGGUUUUGCUGUCGCUUAUAGAUGAAUCCGGCUGUCAUUAGCUAGUUGGUAAGGUAACGGCUUAACAACGCAACGAUGGGUAGCCGACCUGAGAGGGUGAACCGCCAGCCUGGAACUGAGACAGAGCACAGACUCCGACGGGAGGCAGCGGUAGGGAAUCUUCCGCGAUGGAGCAAAGCCUGAUGGAGCAACGCCGCGUGAGUGAUGAAGGUCUUCGGAUCGUAAAACUCUGUUAUUAGGGAAGAACAAAUGUGUAAGUAACUAUGCACGUCUUGACAGUACCUAAUCAGAAAGCCACGGCUAACUACGUG